UCCCCUGUAGCGUAAUGGUUAACGCGUCAGACUUUUAAUCUGAAAAUUGCGGGUUCGAGUCCCGUCAGGGGAG
This is a non-coding RNA of Echria macrotheca, 73 nucleotides long. NCBI's taxonomy places the organism in Eukaryota, Fungi, Ascomycota, Sordariomycetes, Sordariales, Schizotheciaceae. The record is from the annotation of a GenBank genome assembly.